Molecule: transfer RNA, 68 nt
Filed under: Marmota monax (woodchuck)
Lineage: Eukaryota; Metazoa; Chordata; Mammalia; Rodentia; Sciuridae
Description: tRNA.Ala
Rfam family: tRNA (bases 7-63)
About the family: Transfer RNA (tRNA) molecules are approximately 80 nucleotides in length. Their secondary structure includes four short double-helical elements and three loops (D, anti-codon, and T loops). Further hydrogen bonds mediate the characteristic L-shaped molecular structure. tRNAs have two regions of fundamental functional importance: the anti-codon, which is responsible for specific mRNA codon recognition, and the 3' end, to which the tRNAs corresponding amino acid is attached (by aminoacyl-tRNA synthetases). tRNAs cope with the degeneracy of the genetic code in two manners: having more than one tRNA (with a specific anti-codon) for a particular amino acid; and 'wobble' base-pairing, i.e. permitting non-standard base-pairing at the 3rd anti-codon position.
Source: RNAcentral
GGGCUGUAGCUCAGUGGUAGAGUGCAUGCCUUGCACACAGGAGGAACUGAGUUCGAUCCUCAGGACCA